AUGAUAAUCCACUUUGCUCGAGUUUCUGUUUUGAUGCUUCAGUUGUUAUUGCUUGGACUGGGGUUUAUGUAUAUGAGAUCGACGUGUGUCACAUUAUUUUGUACUUGCCAUGUGAUCUUUGUUCUUGGGAAGUGUUGACUUUGAGCUGCUUUUUGAUUUGUCGUCUCAUGUAGUCAUCUGCAAGGCAUGCAUUACCGAACGAUUAGGCUGUUGGAAGCAGGGAUACAGCCAGUCUACGUAUUUGAUGGUAAACCUCCUGAUUUGAAGAAGCAAGAGCUCGCACAACGGUGACACAACAGCACAAUGAAGACUGCAAAAAACUAUUGAGACUUAUGGGUAUCCCAGCAGUUGAGGUUACUAUUCUGUCUGAGAAGUUCAUUCUUCUUUAUUCGUAACAAAAAUGUUAGAUACCAGAUUCAGUUUAUGUAUGUCAGGCCCCUUCAGAAGCAGAGGCACAAUGUGCUGCUCUUUGAAAAGCU
This is a long non-coding RNA of Syzygium oleosum, 479 nucleotides long. RefSeq lists it as uncharacterized. The record is from RefSeq and is a predicted model, not a curated record. The transcript is spliced from 3 exons. NCBI's taxonomy places the organism in Eukaryota, Viridiplantae, Streptophyta, Magnoliopsida, Myrtales, Myrtaceae.